UCUACCUCUAUAUAAAAGGUACCAAGGGAAUCCUGAGAUAAAAAAAUUUUAGGCAAAUUCCUCUAAAAGUGAGAACUCCCAUGCUCUUGCUCCCCCUUUCUCUCUUUUUUUUAUUAUUCUCAAGCUCUAGUUGACCUAAGCAUCAAAGGAUCCCUCAUCGGAGAGCCUCUGGUGAGUGCGGACUUUCAUUACAGAUUCUUUUCAGCACUCCAGCCUUUCGAUCAAAGAGCAUCUAACCUCAGUUGCACCCAUCAUAGACCAGAGACUUGCAGUAAUAGAUUGGUGUAAAAAGAAGGGUCUAAAGUCUAUUCAAAGAAAAAAGAGAGCAUGGUAUGAACACGAGCACACAAUUCCACCGUCUCUCACUGGCAAUCUUCUCACCGCAGCCAAAGUGGUGCUGCCCAAGAGUCCACUAUAGUUCGACCCCCUACUGUGAUAGAUUCACAACCAUUCAAUGUCAUGGU
Molecule: long non-coding RNA, 464 nt
Filed under: Elaeis guineensis (African oil palm)
Lineage: Eukaryota; Viridiplantae; Streptophyta; Magnoliopsida; Arecales; Arecaceae
Description: long non-coding RNA (EGUI_LNC015524)
Source: RNAcentral